Molecule: long non-coding RNA, 811 nt
Filed under: Ricinus communis (castor bean)
Lineage: Eukaryota; Viridiplantae; Streptophyta; Magnoliopsida; Malpighiales; Euphorbiaceae
Description: long non-coding RNA (RCOM_LNC002588)
Source: RNAcentral
GCCGCUUCUUGCUGCUGAUGAGUUGUGGUUGUUGUUUUCUAUUUAUUAGUUUCUGUAUUUUGGCGGCUUUUUAACGCUCUGUUGAGUUUUGGUUUGAAGAGAGAGAACCAGUAUCUAUGGCUGGAAGUAAUGAAGUCAACCUCAAUGAAUCUAAGAAUUGGAUUGCGGCAGGAGUCGAUGAAACAUGCAACGCUUUCAGAGAUUACUGGGUGAUGUACGUGAACCUGGUGGAUUAGACGAUGCGAAGCAAAUGUUCGAUGAAAUGCUUGAAAGAGACUUUAUUUCUUGGAAUUCUAUGAUGGUUAGGAAAUUUUUGAAAUGCCAUGUAUGAGGAGGCUGUCCAGGUACGUUUUGAUGAUUCAGGUUGUCCAUGUAUCCUUAACUUCUAAUCAUUCUCUUUUGCCAUAAAGGCUAGUAGUGCUCACUUGGACUUGAUUAUUAAGACAUUCGAGUUUGAAAGUGAGACAUUGAUUGAAACUAAAGCUAUGGAUAUAUGUAUGCAUUAAUAAUAAGGUGGUUAGCUUGUGCAGAGAGUAGUUUUGAGGAUUUCAUGCUCGAGUUUGUUUGCUAAUUAUGGCGCUGAAAGGGCUUUUGACAUGUUCGACCAGAUGCCAAAACGUGUCACUCUGUCUUGAAGCACUAUGAUUUCGACAUUAUCUCGUGAUGGACUUGGAAUUUCAACUCUUACUCUGUUUUGCGCGCAUUCUUAAUGUAUGCACCAAAAUUGGGUUGCUCGUUCUGUCUAGUACCAACAGCAAGGUUGCCUUGACAUUUAUGGAGAGGUUAACUAAUUUAUAAAAGGGGAAGGGGA